Molecule: ribosomal RNA, 624 nt
Filed under: Lactobacillaceae bacterium
Lineage: Bacteria; Bacillati; Bacillota; Bacilli; Lactobacillales; Lactobacillaceae
Description: bacterial SSU rRNA
Rfam family: Bacterial small subunit ribosomal RNA
Source: RNAcentral
UGAUUUUAGUGCUUGCACUAAAUGAAACUAGAUACAAGCGAGCGGCGGACGGGUGAGUAACACGUGGGUAACCUGCCCAAGAGACUGGGAUAACACCUGGAAACAGAUGCUAAUACCGGAUAACAACACUAGACGCAUGUCUAGAGUUUGAAAGAUGGUUCUGCUAUCACUCUUGGAUGGACCUGCGGUGCAUUAGCUAGUUGGUAAGGUAACGGCUUACCAAGGCAAUGAUGCAUAGCCGAGUUGAGAGACUGAUCGGCCACAUUGGGACUGAGACACGGCCCAAACUCCUACGGGAGGCAGCAGUAGGGAAUCUUCCACAAUGGACGAAAGUCUGAUGGAGCAACGCCGCGUGAGUGAAGAAGGGUUUCGGCUCGUAAAGCUCUGUUGGUAGUGAAGAAAGAUAGAGGUAGUAACUGGCCUUUAUUUGACGGUAAUUACUUAGAAAGUCACGGCUAACUACGUGCCAGCAGCCGCGGUAAUACGUAGGUGGCAAGCGUUGUCCGGAUUUAUUGGGCGUAAAGCGAGUGCAGGCGGUUCAAUAAGUCUGAUGUGAAAGCCUUCGGCUCAACCGGAGAAUUGCAUCAGAAACUGUUGAACUUGAGUGCAGAAGAGGAGAGUGGA